UACGAGGGGUGCGAGCGUUGUUCGGAAUUACUGGGCGUAAAGGGUGCGUAGGCGGUUUGAUAAGAUAGCGGUGAAAUGCCGGGGCUCAACCUCGGAAUUGCCGUUAUGACUAUUUAAGCUAGAGUGGUAGAGAGGAUAUUGGAAUACCCAGUGUAGAGGUGAAAUUCGUAGAUAUUGGGUAGAACACCAGUGGCGAAGGCGAGUAUCUGGCUAUCAACUGACGCUGAGGCACGAAAGCAUGGGGAUCAAA
This 250-nucleotide ribosomal RNA is filed under the name uncultured prokaryote. RNAcentral's name for it is "partial 16S ribosomal RNA". It matches the Rfam family "Bacterial small subunit ribosomal RNA", at positions 524 to 772 of the family's 1533-position model. The record is from RNAcentral.